UACAGAGGGUGCAAGCGUUGCUCGGAAUUAUUGGGCGUAAAGGGUAGGUAGGUGGUCUCAUUUGUCUGGGGUGAAAUCCUUGGGCUUAACCCAAGAAGUGCCCCAGAAACGGUGAGACUGGAGUCCUGGAGAGGGUCGUGGAAUUCCCGGUGUAGCGGUGAAAUGCGUAGAGAUGCGGAGGAACACCGAUGGCGAAGGCAGCCCCCUGGGCCAACACUGACGCUCAGGCACGAAAGCGUGGGGAGCAAACAGG
Molecule: ribosomal RNA, 253 nt
Filed under: uncultured bacterium
Lineage: Bacteria
Description: partial 16S ribosomal RNA
Rfam family: Bacterial small subunit ribosomal RNA
Source: RNAcentral